RNAcentral lists this long non-coding RNA (1004 nucleotides) under Fukomys damarensis (Damara mole-rat). RNAcentral's name for it is "lncRNA (ENSFDAG00000025284.1)". Lineage: Eukaryota; Metazoa; Chordata; Mammalia; Rodentia; Bathyergidae. The record is from RNAcentral.
UCGCUCUCCUUGAUACAUAUUUAAUUGUCAUUAUUUGUUUCCCUUUCUUAUCUUUAAGGUCAAGGAAAACAUACAUGGACAUAUGUACACACUACCAGGUAUCUGUUUGGUCUGUGUGUUGUUUCUCUGCCUUUCUGAUCCCAAGGAGAGAAGUACCUGGAACAUAAUAUGGAGAAGGAAAGGAAGAAAUACAGGCAGAGAGGAAGAUGAACCCUGCCUUUACACCGUGACCCCUGGUAAUCAGAAGAAAUGAAACAUGUGCUCUGCCCACCCAUAUAUGGAGAAAGGUUGGAGAUGUCUAUUCCAUCAGGGUCCCCCCCCCACUUCAUGCUCCAUUGCCACUGGAACAUUUGCAGCCAUGACCUGGAAUGGCACCUUGAAAAAUAUAUAGAAUCGGACUGGUUUACCCAACUCUUCCUAACCGUACUGUGCUCAAGGCACUGGGUGAUAUAUAAGACCCAUAGAGUCUUGCUUCAACUAGCUUGCACUAAAGAAUCAGAAUGCAGAGAAACAACAGAGCCUGAAAUAAGUCAUCUGCUGAGCACUGGUGAGUUUUGUGGGCUUUUCCUGAAAGAGAUGAGCUUCCAGAAUGCUUCUUGAAUAUUAAGUAGAAAACUGGCGCUAGUGUUUGGGAAGGCAUGAAACAACACCCAAAACUGAGUUUGCAUGACACAGAAAUAACUUUAGAGGGAAGAUCUGUGGAAGGAAAAUGUAGAAAAUCAGAAAGAGCAGGAAAGAGGAUAUCAAAGAAUCAUCCCAUUUAUGCAAAGCAAUUCAGAGGAAGUAUUUUCGGGUUAGGAAGGAAAAAUGAUUGAUUGUUUGAAUACAAGACAAAAGCAACCAUGAUAGCCUUGCUCGGAAUUGCAGUAAAAAACUAUAUACUCUCAGUGGCAUCAAAAGCCAAGGAAUUUUGAAUGUUUCCCUGUGUGAUGCUGCCUGAGAAUUUGGAAGAAGACUAAGGAGCUUGGUUUGGCUUCUAGUCCCAUACAUCAAGCCACAGGGCA